UUCUAAAAUUAAUAAAAAUUUUUAUAUUUGUUAUUGACUGUUGUGGUGACAGUGGUAGUUAUCAGGGUGUUAGGGUAGUGCUACAUUUUAACCCUCAACUAUCAUCAUUUUGCAAAUAUUACCACUCAAGUUUUUUUCUAGUAAAAUGGCAUCUUACCAUUUUAUUUUUUGCAAAAUGACGUUUUGUUAUCAACAUGUUGGUAAAAUGUGGAAAGCAUGAUAUAACAAAGUGUGUGGAAAAAAACUUUAGAGGUAACUGUGUAAAAUGAAAAACUUAAUGGUAAAAUGAGCAAAAGUAAUACUUGGGAGUUCAAAUUUGUAAAAUGAUAAUUACUGAAUGGUAAAAUGUGGAUUUAAGCCUUUAUAUUAUUGUCUUGUGUCAUAAACGAAUAUUGUUUAAGGAUUAAAGCUGUUAGGUUAAUAGAACUGUGUAUUAAACUAUUGUUUUUCUAUUGCACAAAGCUUCAUUUAUGAGGGGGCUCCCAAAAUUCCUGAAGCAGAAACACCAUUCAAACACAUAUUGUAGAAUUUUGAAUUUGGAUUCUCUUCUGGGUUUUUCUGUAUUGUUCCUCUGCUGUGCUUCAAAAUAUACCGCUGGGCACUGAUUUUGAUGUCUCUAGAUAUAUUAAAAAGUUUUUUAAAGCACUAACAUCAAUGUAUUUUAAUGCUCAGCAGAGGACUGCACCAAAAAACCCAGCAGAGAAUCUAGAAUUUUGCAUAGACAUUUAUGUUUAUUGACAGUUGCUAAACUUUACCAGGGACAGGACUUUCCAAAAGGGAUGCUGCAGAGCUAAGGGAGAGAUGUCUUUCCUUUCUUUUACAAAAGCUAAGGGUAUGUUUCCCCCCUUGUUAUUCGUCAUUUUACAAUGAAAAUGAGAGCAUUUGAUGUUUAUUACUAUUCGAAAUAGCUUAGUGUACGGGUCAGCUUUUUAUAAUGUUCUACAAAAGCCAAGAGUAUGUGUCGGCCUUGUACAAUGUUUUAUCAUAAUUUCGCUUGAAAUUGAAUAACAUAACAUUAUCCAGCUACCAGUCUUAUGGUUAGAAUAAUUUUGAUUGAAAUAUAGCUAGCCUACCUAAGUAUAGUGGAGAUAGAGAUCAGAUUGUCUAAUAGCUAAGUAGAGUCACUGUAAUCUAUUAGAAUUCAAUUAUGCUCAAAUAUGCAUAGCUAUGAGUAUUUCUAUGACCAGUCCAUAUAAGUAAGUUGAAAGAAAGCUAAUCUGUUACCGCAGCUAUAAAAAAUUAUAAAGUUGCAGAAAAUACAAAAUGGACAUAUAAUGUGCAAGUAUCUGUAACACAUUUGUUUAAAUUUCUUUUAUGAGACAGUCAGUUAUUACCCAGUUUUGUGAAGCUCUUAUGAAUGCUUCUGUAUUUAUUGUGUAAUUUGUUUGUUGAAUGCUUAUAUUUGUAUUUUAAUGUUAGCUCCAAAUGAAAAAAGUUCUAAAUAUUGUCUGGCCUAUUCUAACAGGUUGGUAAAAGUAAUUUAUUAUAUUCAGAACUUUCAAGAAUGGGAAACUACGGUUGGGGUGAAUUUGUGGAUGUGCCACACAGUAAUAAUACGCACCACGAUGAUUUAUUUGGCAUUGAUCCAUUCUAUAUCAAUAAAGGUAACGAUAAUGAGGUGCUGCAAUUCUGUUAUCUGAUUUGGUUUUGUAAAAGUAUUUCUAUAUUUGUAUGCCGUCAUCUAUCAAUUGGGGUUUUUCCACCUGAAAUAGUUGUAAUUUUGUAAAGGAAAAAGUGGUGUUAUGAGCUAAUAAAUAAUUGUCUCUUGUGUUUAUUUUGCACUACUUUGUUUUAUGCAUGUAGGUAUUGGCAUUGUUGAGGAUGGUGGGUUUGAAUUCAUGGCGCCUACUACCCGCAGGAAUGCCUUGAGAGUUUUGCGGGCUAUGCAGCUUCCAAAGCCUGGUAUGUUCGUUCAUUAUUUAAUUAUGUCUGAAAAUUUGAAUUUUGUUUAAUUAUGUCUGAGAUUUCAUAUUUAAAUUACUUAAAUGAUUGUACAUAUGCAGUUUUACUAGAAGGUAGCCCAGGUGUAGGGAAAACUAGUUUAAUCAUUGCCUUGGGUAACUGUUCUGGGCACAAAGUGGUACGAAUAAACUUUUCAGAGCAGGUCAGUAAUUAGCUUGGUUGACACUUAGUUUUUUAUAAUAAUUUGUUCAAUUACAUUUGUCAUAAUAGUUAUUAGUAAGCUUUUCUAUUAUGUAUGUAUUUCUGGUGCAGACUGAUAUGAUGGAUCUGUUAGGGUCUGAUUUACCAGUUGAAAGUGAGGAGGGAAUGAAGUUUUCUUGGUCUGAUGGGAUAUUAUUGCAGGUUGAUUGUCUUAUACUGUAACAUAUCAUGUUCAUCUCUGCUUUUGGUAUGUUUUUAAUUUGUAACCGAAAUUUGCAGGCACUGAAGGAAGGUUGUUGGGUUUUGCUGGACGAACUUAAUCUUGCUCCACAAUCUGUUUUAGAAGUAUUUUACUCAUCAAUCUCAAUCUCCAUUUGUUCCUUUUCUGUACCUUCUUUGCUUUAGCACAUUUUUCUUUGUGACAGGGUUUGAAUGCUAUACUGGACCACAGAGCUGAGGUGUUUAUACCGGAGUUGGGAAAUACUUUUAAAUGUCCACCAUCAUUUAGAGUUUUUGCUUGCCAGAAUCCAUCACAUCAAGGUGGGGGCCGAAAAGGCCUUCCAAAGUCAUUCCUAAAUCGAUUUACAAAGGUAUGCUGAUGGUAUGUUUUCUUGUAUUUAUUUUGGGCCUAUGAAAGUUGAAACAUAGAUAUAUUCAAGCAAGCAAACCUGUGGAAUCUAAAGUCCAAAACCCUCUAUGUAGUACUUUGAUUCAAUUCAUGUAUAACCGAAAGAAACUCUACUUAUGUUUUGUUUUGCUGUGUUUAAUGAAGGUGUCCUGUUUCAGAAUAUUUUUCCUCUUUUCUUAAGUAAUAUUGUCACUCUAAUCUUUUCUUUUUAACUAGAUGCAAGAUUUAUCAAAUCUGUUUUUGGUUGUUGAUACAGGUAUAUGUUGAUGAGUUAGUUCAGGAAGACUACCUAUCCAUCUGCGAAACAAAAUUUCCGACCAUCUCUCAAACAUUACUCUCAAAGUUAGUCUUAUUCAAUAAAAGAAUGCAUGAAGACACUACAGUAAAUCAAAAGUUUGCCAAGGAUGGCUUUCCAUGGGAGUUCAAUCUUCGUGAUAUAUUUCGGUCUUGUGAGAUAAUUCAAGGUUCUAUCAUCCAUAUUCCUUUCACUUCUAAAUUGAAUCUUGUUUUUUUUUCCUUGCCUCUUCUCUUUAUUUGUAGUGUCCCUAAUAGAGUCAUUCCCUUUCCUAUGCUGAUAAUUCCAUAUAUUCAAUUUAGGUGCACCGAAGCACUCUGGAUUGUAUUCCUUCGUGAACACUGUUUAUAUUCAGAGAAUGCGUACAGCAGCUGAUCGCAAGGAAGUCUUACGAGUUUUCAAGGAGGUAUUUGAGGUGACACUGCCUAUAAAUCUAUAUCCCCGUGUUCAACUGAACUCAGAACAUUUAAUUGUGGGCAAUGCUACUAUUAAGAGGAAUCAUGUCCAAUUAACUACACCCUCAAGCAAACAGCUCCUGAUUCUGCCUGAAAUUCGACAGAGUUUGGAAGCUGCUGCUCAAUGUGUAGAGCGUCAAUGGUUAUGCAUCUUGACUGGGCCAUCGUGUUCUGGGAAAACUUCACUGAUAAGAUUACUAGCUAACCUAACAGGAAAUAUGCUGAAUGAAAUUAAUCUUUCAUCUGCAACAGAUAUAUCUGAACUAUUGGGAUCUUUUGAACAGUAUGAUGCCUUGCGUAAUUUUUUCAAUGUAGUUGGUCAAAUUGAGCGCUAUGUUAAUGAGUUCAUUAGUUUGCAACUGGAGGCUUCAAAGGAUGCAAUUUUCAGGGAAACCGAUUUCUAUACCAGAUGGAUUGCUUUCCUCUCUAGCUUUAAAUUUGAGAGCUUGUUAUCUUCUGCUACAAAUUAUCUUGAUGACCAGAAGAAAAUAGUAUGUUCCCUUAGUUUGUUCGUUGAACAACUAAAGUUGCAGAUAGAAAGGAGUUCUCUUCCUCUAUCCUACUCUUUAAAGGAACUUGAUUUUGUAUCGAAGGCAGUUUUAAAGAUGAAAGAUGAUAAAAACAGCGCUGUUUCAACCAAAUUUGUAUGGGUUACAGGACUGUUGAUCAAGGCUAUUGAGCAAGGGGAAUGGAUUGUGUUGGAGAAUGCAAAUCUAUGUAAUCCCACGGUAUAUGAUGCUUUGCGAGUUCAUGCAUUUAAAAGCUUAUUAUGCUUGAAUAAGAUUUUAUUUAAUCCUUGUAUUUCGUAUAAAUGUCUGUGAACUGUGUUAAUGGACUGAUAUCUCUUUGCUCUCUUUUGCUGAAUCUGUUAAUGUCAAACUCGUGUCUCAUUAAACUUCCUCAUCAUCCAUUUUUUCUUUCUAAUCUAUUUAAGUGUCUUGAACUCAGUUCGCAAUAGCUUUCCCCAAAUGAACUAUAAAUUAGAAGCAUAUCUAGAUGAUAUUUUUUCUUGUUUAAUUUUUCUGAAGUUUGGCAGGCAAUAUCUGGAUAGUGCUUUAUUGUCUUUAAUCACCUGAAUUGUUUAAUUUUUCUACUUAAGGUUUGCAGCUGUACAAGUAUGUAAAUUGGUACUAUUUAAUUAUUUUUACUUGUUUUUGUUGCUAGGUCCUUGAUAGAAUUAACUCAUUGGUGGAACCUUGUGGAUCGAUCACGGUGAAUGAGCGUGGAGCUGUUGAUGGAAAGCCAUUGGUUAUUCAUCCACACCCUAAUUUCCGCAUGUUCCUCACAGUGAAUCCGCAGUAUGGUGAAGUUUCUCGAGCAAUGCGUAAUAGGGGAGUUGAAAUAUUUAUGCUCCAGCCAUAUUGGGCAUUAGAUGAUAUGAGUGGAUACAAUGGUGAGGACAUUGAACUNAGAGAUGUCAGGAGGUUUCUUGUUUUAUUGGGUAUUCCGAUUGCUCAAUUGGUUGAUUCAAUGGCUACAGCCCACAUUUAUGCUAAAAAGGAAGGUUNGAAGCUUAAUNAUCGCAUUACAUAUCUUGAACUCUCACAUUGGGUUCAUCUGUUUCUGCAGCUUCUUAGGAAUGGUUGUUGUCCUAUUUGGAGUCUACAAAUAAGUUGGGAGCAUAUAUAUCUCUCCUCAUUGGGUGCUGAGGGAGAGAAAAUAGUCAAUUUAGCCAAAACUGAAUAUUUAUCUGUACCUAAUUUUGUUGGGUAUGACGUUUUGACAGUAUGUCCUCUGAGUUUGCCUGGAGGAUGGCCAUUGCCACCCAGUUUAAGGGAUUUUAUAUAUUACUCAAAAGAAGCUUCUAUCAAACAGAAUUGCAUGUAUCUAGAGUCACUGGGAACUCAAAUUGCAUUUCAUAGGGAGUGUAAAUUUGAUUCAGAGUUGACAAAGAAGAUGCUAUUCUUUUCUGCCAAUUGGGCAAUUGAACAAGCUACCAAAAGUGAUUUAAAGUUCUAUCUUCUAAGGUUUAAGUGGUUCAGUUCUUUCUGCAAGUUCUUUCAUGACUUUGUCAAACUGAUUGAACAGAUGAUGGAACAUCCUAUUUGGGAGUAUAUUUCAUGCCGUGAUGAACUAGAUGUUGAUUUGCAGUUAAUACCAUUGUUGUCACUUGAUAUAGUUAAUUUGGCUCCAUCAAAUAGCAAAACUAAAUAUCUCUGUAAUGCUAUUAUUUGCUUUGAUCCUCUAAGGCUAACAUUCCAGCAACGGAAUAUUGAGAGCCAACAUAGUUUUAAUGAAAAAGCCAGUCGCUUCAUUCCACUUUUGAAGUCCCUUUAUGUUUUGCAAGAUGAAAUACUUUACAAAUUUGUUUCAGCAUCUAAGCUAAUUGAGGACCAGUCUUUUGAUUAUAAAAUACAGUUAUACUGCAGCCUCAUCGAGGACCAUGUUUUAUUUUGGCGAUACUUGGUUUCUUUGAAGUUUGAUCCUUUGAAGUUUGAUCAGUUUGAUCAUUUGGAGUUUGAUCAGUUGAAGUUUGAUCAGAUGAUAAUUUCUUGGCACUCUUUGGUGAAAGGUGCUCAAAAGUUUAUAGAUAUCUGUCCUGAAGCAGUUGAUGAUUUUUUGGUAAGCUAAGAAUUAAGUUUUGUCUAUUUAAUAAGAGAGUGUGCAUAAAGCAUCAGAAUUAAGUUUGUUUGCAUCCUAGAUAUUGAUCAAAUUCUUUUAAGCUUAACAUGCUUUGAAUCUUGGUGAAUGCACCCUUAUUUUCUUCUCACAUAUUUUGUUUAGUGUCACCAAAAUAUCUCUUUCAUGUUUUGUAUUACAUUCAGACUAUCUUUACUUGAACAGAUGGAGAGCAAAAAAUUACUAUCUUUACUUGAACAGAUGGAGAGCAAAAAAUUGAAGUUCUCUUUUUCGGAAGAACCCUUACUAUGGAUUCAUGGUGGUCACCCAUUUUUGCCCUCUUCUUCUGAUUUACACGAUCAACAUCAUCAGAUUUUGAAAUUUGUUGAAACAAUUUGGCCAAGAAAGACAGGACCCAAAUACCAAGGUUAGGAAUUUAAAGUCCUCUUUUGUUAUUUAUUUCUUGGAAAAUUUCAUAUGCCCAAUUCAUGGUCAAGAUAUUCUCAAUUUUGGAACAUUUAACCCUUUAACUUCUUAAAUAGUUAAUCAACUCAGCAAUUGCCUGUAAGUAACCAAUACUUGAGCAUCAUUAACUUGUUAAGUUGUCAAUUAUUCUUAAGAUGGGAAUAUUUUUCCAAGAUUUUUUUUUAUUUUCUUUGCAUUUUAUACAUCUUAUUUUUUUUAUAUGUUCGUUCAUUCUUAAUUUUCUAUUCAGAACAUUCAGGAAAUUUGAGCAGGCAUCUUGUUGAUGUUGUUGCAUCAUUUGAUCAUGAUCUCCGCAUCCUCAUUAUGCAAGGUAUAUUAUCGAGAUCUUUCUUUCCCCUAUAACAUUUUUUAUAGAAAAUUGGGAAUCAAAUGUUAUCCUUUGGUCUUAUUUCCCUAUAUAACUUAAAGAUAGGCCAGUUUCAGUUGCAUUUAUCUUGUGAAAUAAAUUUCUUUGGGAAUGAGAAACUUUCUAUUGGUGUAUAUAUAUGUUUGCAUGAUUGAUGUUUAGUCCCUUUUCUUGCAAGAGUAAGACUGGUCACAUUACCCUCUAUAAACCUCACUAGGUUGGAGCUUUUUGUGCUUGGCCAUGGCCUCUUUCCUUGCAAUAAUACUUGAACUGGUGUUUUUUUGCUUGUGAUGUCUUCUAAAGUUUACUAUAUUGAUUAUGAUAUUGAUCUUGAAAAAUGGCUUUUUUUUUUCAUUCCUUCCUAAUCAAUGUGGACAACACUUAUUUACUUUGUUUUAAACGGUACUGGAUCCAUUUUUAUUUAUAUUUUAUUUGUUCAUACUAGAAAUGGUUAUUUUGGCUCCUUAUAAUAUUCUUUUUUUUUCUCCUCGCCCUUGUGUUUUUAAACAAUGGUUUAAAACUUUAUUAGUUUUUUUUUUCCUGUACUACCCUUAUAUUUUCCAGCUUUUCCUUUUAGGUUAGUUUUUUUAUAAUUUGCUCUUUUCAUAACAAAUUUGAUGUUUCUAGGCCUUCAGUUUUUUUUUUUUUUUUGCUUUUAAUCCUGCAUAAUGAAAGUCAAAAUACGAUUAUUUCAGGUUUUAUUGCUUGUUGAGGGCAAUGAUUGUAAUCGUAUUUACUAUUGUUUAUGAGGCUUUUUGGUGUAUACUUAUUAUUUCUCUCUUUAUUUUAUAAUUGUAUAGAUGUGUCAAACUCAUCAUUCUUAAUGGUGAAAUGGAGUCAUGAGGAUGGUAUCCAUAAUUUUCAGAAGUUGGAGAAGACGCAUCAGGUCUGUACCUUUCAUGAUGGUAUUGAUAUCUAUAAUGCCCAAGUUAACAUUUGAUUGUUAAAAUUGUCCCACAGGUGCUGCUAAGAAGGUUUGAACAUGAAAAACAGAAGUUGCAGUUGAAUUCAGGAUCCAAAGACAGUUCAUCUUUUGUUGAAUAUUCAACUGCUUGUUGUUCAUUCUCACGUGAAAUGUUGUGCCAAAAGUCUGCAUUUGAGGCCUGGCAGGAUACGUUCCCUCCAGUUGAUUAUGCCAGUUUAUUUUGGGACAUGGAGUUACUGCAGAAACUUACAUCAAUUCAUUUGGAUGAUCUUGAAGGAUUGCACCAAGUAAUAUCGAUCAUACUUAUUUAUUCAUUGACGUAAUUUGGAUAUACAUUCGUAUGGUUGCCUGGCUGUUCAUGUUUGAUCCUUACUCAAGCUUUCCUCUUAUGAAUUGAGUUAUUGUUAACAAAAUUUUCUUUAUAAUAUUGAAAAAAAAAGUUUCUUUGUAAUAGACUAGUGAGACUCUUGUGCUCAAUAAUUUCAUGGAUAAGGAAAUACAUCUGGUUGAGUAGGUGAACCAUGAAACUAAGUGGUCAUAAAUAUAUACUAGGAGAAAAGGUGGGAUUUGUGACAGCAUCCUGGGGGUAGUAGGAGUCUGUUAUGGUGAGUGGGUAAGGUGUGUGUAUGGAGGGGGGAGGCGGUGGACAAUCACUCAAUUAAGUUAUUGUGAUUGGCUAGGAACAGCGAGUUCCUUAUGUAUUUCCUGAUAAUUCCAUUUAUACCCUGGACAUCUAAUUUCAUNCUAUGNUGAAAUUANUACAUUGUUUAAUACCUACUAUUUGNGUUCUGUUUCUAUCAAUAGCUGAGGGUUNCUACCCNUNUUAUAUUAUGCCACNCAUAAUCUGGAAACUUAANUGCCAUGUUUCUUUGAUUCUGUUAAUAGGCUGUGNGAUNUCUAUCAGACCUUUUGGACUNUGCUUUGNAGUUUUCNUUGAGUUUCUCAUCAAGGCCUCCACAAAUGUUUGUGCCACACCAGAAGAUAUUGUGGACCCUUAAUGCAUGGGCUUCAGUGGAUGCAGGUUGGUGUAAGGACUUGAACGAGUCCAAUGUUUCCUUUUCCUUUUUGUUGACUAGUAUGCUAACACUAAAAUUCGAACUUAUUUCUCUGUUUCUGCCUUUUGGGGUACAGUGAAUUUGAAAAUUGCAAGUUUUAUUCUGGAGAUGUGGUUUAAGUGGCAUGAAACUGUGUGGGUAUGGUUCCCUAAAUUUAAUAAGGUAUGCAGUAAGUUAGAAAAUUGUAGGCUUUCAUAUUUAGUUUUUCCUAUUAAUAUGCCUUUUGACUUUUUUUUAUGAUAUUUUUCUGUACACAGAACUUUGUGAAGAUUGAUGGCUUUGGUACAACUGCACUUCCCCACAUGCUCAUUGAGCCUUCCAGUGCAUCAACUGUGUUGCAGAUCACGUGAGUUAAUUGUAUAAUUUCAGCACUAUAUUUUUGUCAUGUGCUAUUGAUUUUUUGAGUGGAGCUUCCAAUAAACCAAGGUUGUUAGUCGUUACUGAAGUCAAUAUUGGGGCUUUGUCACCCGUAAGCUAUCAUGUUGUAUAUUGUUUGUUACUAUAUACAUGACACGGGGAAGAAACUUCUGCCUGAAAUCUUGAACUUUAAAGUAUGUAUAUCAUAAUCUCCAAACACACAAUUCCUGAAAAUUAGGGUAAGAGGAAAAUAUAUCAUUACCUGGUAAGGAUUGCAACCUGUGUAGUGAUGCAGUAUCGUUCUUUCUAUUUAUUAAAAAGAUUUCAAAUAAUAGAACAUACAUAAUGAGUCCUUAUUUAUGCUGCCCCUUAAUAUUCUUCCAUUUUUUUUUAUAUUUCCACUUUAAAAGCAAUGUGGUUGAUUUUCUCGUUUGUGUUAAAGUUAGUUUUAUCCUAUGUAUUUGACUACUAUUAUUUCUCUCAUUUAUAACUAGUCUGUAAAAUAUUUAAGAAUUGGAUAGAUAUAUUUUGACAUCUACGCAGGUAGCAGAUAGUUAUAUGUUUUGCAUCUUAGUAUUUUGUAGUUGCUUUGUUGUAUAUGACUAUUUGUUAACUAAUGUGAAUAAAUAUUGAACAUCUUGUUACUGAAAGUCUAACCCUUUGGAUAAUAUUUUCAGGCAAAGCACACAUGCUAUCAAGGAAUCUUGGGUGCAAUGUCUCAAGUGUAGAGUUACCUUGUUCAAUCUGUGGCAUUGUUCUCAUCAUGGAACACAUCUACCUAAAUUUCUUUUAUCUGCUGCUCGCUCUCUUUUCCAGCAGGUAAAANUAUUNUUUUCNUUCCAUUUAAAAGUCACUUGAGUCUAAAUUAUUAUACUGAUUCAUGCCUAUGGUAUGCUUAAGUGCAGAUUAUUUAUGCUCACAGAAAAUCAUUUGAUGCUGAUCAGUUUGCUAGAAUUAAAUCUACUUUUUCUUCUUCUGAGAAGAAUUCACUCACGGUAUGCUUUAGACUUCUCAUAAGUAUAUUAUACCUGUAUUUAAAAAGUCUGUGAACACUAAUUAUAGUUGAUUAAGAAAUGCAUAAUAAUUAUAUGUAAAUUUUUCCCCUUUCUGUGUGUAUUUAUGAAUGUAAAAUUAUUCCCAAAGUGUUUGGCUGAAUUAUGAAAGAGAACCUUCAUCAACAAUUAAUAGUUGCUAUGUUUUACGGAUUCUGUUUAAAUGGUUAUAAUUCCCAAACAUCAGUUUUCUUAUUCUCAUUCCCGUGUUAACUGAAUCUAGGAAGAAAGCAUCUAUAUUCUGAGCUCUCUUGUUGCUUCAUCAAGACAUCAAAGGUUAGAAAAAUCCGUUCAGAAGUUCAUUGUUCCACUGCUUAGAGAGCUGUAUCUUCAGACUAAUGCUGCCGGUAAAUCUGCUAAUUUUUCUGCACUUUAAUAAACAUGUAUAAUAAUUGACUGUUAUUUUAAUAUGGCCAUAAAAGCUAAGUAAAAUUAUAAAAAUCCUNUUAAUACGGUAUUCUGUUAGAUUGUAAAUUCUUAUUAUAACUGUGACCUGGGAGCAUUAGUUACCUAUUAUAUAUGUAUCUUUAUUCUUCAUGUUUAGAAUGUUCUCUCUUAUAUUUAUAUAUCUCUUUUUUAAUUGUUUUAGAUUUCAACUUUACUAUUGGUUGUGCAUGGGCGCAUAUUGGAGCAUUGCGCAUUCACCUAUUGCUUAGCUGUAGUGAAAUUGAUCCCACCAUGAAGUACUAUUGCAAGUACUCUCAGCUCAUGGAAACAAUAUCAACACUUGAACUUGAAAUUUAGGUAUUCUAUAAAGAUCUUUAAAUCAGUUGCUUGCCUUUGUUUUCUUGUGUUUUGAACAAUUCUUUGCUUAUUUUAUUUCUUCUAGUACUUGUUUGAUGAUUUAUACCAUGGGUGAAUUAUUUUCUACUUACUAAAUUCAUUUAGGUGCGGAAAGAGUGUGGUUAUUUUGCUGGGCAGUUUUUAACACACGAGUCUGACAAAAGAAAAACACAAAGGUUGGAACAGCUUCAGGCAGAGCGUCAGAUGUUGGAAAAAAAGGUUUCUAGAUCCUAAUGUUUUAUUCUGCUUCUUGUUGGUUAUAUUUUUUUUUUUUUCAUGUUUUAUAUGUAAUUAUUGGCUUGCAUGAUUACCAUUUAUGGAUUUGGUGCCGAAGGCUGCAAAGUCAUUUUUGUUAGUUUUCUGUUUCNNNNNNNNNNNNNNNNNNNNNNNNNNNNNNNNNNNNNNNNNNNNNNNNNNNNNNNNNNNNNNNNNNNNNNNNNNNNNNNNNNNNNNNNNNNNNNNNNNNNNNNNNNNNNNNNNNNNNNNNNNNNNNNNNNNNNNNNNNNNNNNNNNNNNNNNNNNNNNNNNNNNNNNNNNNNNNNNNNNNNNNNNNNNNNNNNNNNNNNNNNNNNNNNNNNNNNNNNNNNNNNNNNNNNNNNNNNNNNNNNNNNNNNNNNNNNNNNNNNNNNNNNNNNNNNNNNNNNNNNNNNNNNNNNNNNNNNNNNNNNNNNNNNNNNNNNNNNNNNNNNNNNNNNNNAUCUGAUAAACCUCGCAGUGCAUGCUGGUCCUAUCAUCUGUAUUUCAUUAUCUUUUUCAACUGUAUAUUAACACCCAGUCCCCUCCUUCUGUUUCUAUUUGCUAAUUUAGAAAGUAAUUUACAUUUGAUCUCUAUCUGUAUUUUGCUGCUCUCAUCCUUUCAAGUGAAUGAUGAAAAUUGAUGACGGUUGUGUUGGCUUUAGAUUGUGUUUCGCGCUGAACCAUUGAAAUACAAGAAGUUAAUGAAGGAAUGUGAUGACUUUCUUAAACAAGUUGAUGGUUUGGAAGCUUUGCUGAGUAGGGGUACUGCUCAGGACUUACAACAGAUUGUUGACCAUGCUUGUGGCUGGCAGGUAUUACUGCUCAUCUAUGUAUGAAUAAAAGGGGAACACAUUUUGAUGACAUAUUUAUGCACUGUAUAUAACAUUGGCGUAAAUGUUGCAAUGCUUAGAGUGCUUUUGUUCUUGUCAAAAUUUUGAAUAAUUUAAUUAAUGCUAAAUGCAUAUUGUAGUUUCAAAGAUUUUUUUUUAGAAUGUAUUAAUAAUACUAGAGAACCAACUACAAGGAUAGUGAUAAUAUAUUUUCAUUAAAAAGGGCAGAUUAAAUUAACAGAACAAUCUAGAGAAGUUAGUUAACUAAGCAAAUCUUACUCAUCUCUCCUUACCUNACUAAAAGAACCCCUGUGAAGUAACCUUUUCUAGGCCCCAAGGAGUCUAAGAGAACUUCUGUAAUGGAUUGACCAUGGUAGCAUAUAGAUUUGUUGGAUUAGUUCUAGAGAAAUCUAUAGUCCAUGUCCUAUUGCUUGGUUUUGAAUAAUAUGUUGCAGUGGAAAUUAAGUGUAGGAUUUUUCAGUAGGGACUCAUUCUGAAGAUUCAACAACAAUGAGAUAUGAACUAAACACAAAGGAUUAUGAAUCCAUUUCUAACUCAACUUUAAAACAAUAAUUUUAUGAGUCAAAUUCCUUAUUUGUUGUUUGACUUUUUCAUUUUUAUCCAAUAGACUUAACUUAGACUUGGACUCACACACACACAUAUAUAGGAUUGUAAGUCGUUCAUAGACUUGGUGAUGACUUUUUCGUUGGCAUAGGUUGAGAGAGAAAUUUAGGUGGCACCUAUAUAGGAUAGAACUUAUGGUAGAAGUUUUCUUAGAUGGUCUGCUCAUCCACUGCAAAGACUUAUAGAAGGUUUGCUAAGCACAGGAAUCCCUGGUUACUGGAGGUAGGAUGAUCUUACCAUUUAGAGGUAGAUUCUUCUUAUACUGUAUAGGAGUGAUUUAGGACACAACAUUAUGCACUGUCUUAGGUAUUUAUUAUGUAUUUUUCGAAAUGGUGAGUGUUAAAGUGAAAAGUACAAACAAGGCAUGAACCCGACACGCUUAUACUAAAAUGUGAUUUAUGAAACAUCCAUGAAUUUAGAAGAAACCAAGUGAAUUAAGAUGUACUUUGCCUGCAGGUAUUGUACCACCUUUUUUCUUUUACUCUGCAUUUGUGCUAAGAUUAUCUGACAUUCUAAAAUUUUAAUUGAGGGAACAACUAUGCUCAACUGUUACCUGUAUUUGGUAAUGUUCCUGAAGUUUAUAGAUAGUUUAGCUACCUAUGGUGUUAGAAUUUUAAUUUUUACUUGAUGGGAUGUGUACCUCCUUGUAUUGUCUCUUAAUUUUCUGGAGAUAGAUGUGGUCUCCCACAUUUCAGAUUCUUUUAGUGGGCUUUGAUUUGGUCACCCUACCUCUGAAUUUUUUUUCUUCUAUUAAUUGUAUUAAGAAUGCUGCAUGCAGCCUGUAUAGUGAUGCAUUAACAUUCUUUCCUUUUGAAUUAAAAAAAGCAGCCCCUGUUUUUUGAUUGGUAUGAAAACAUGAAACUGCAGACCUCCCAAUUACUUUGAUCCCUUGAACUACUUAUUGUUUGGAAGUGAAGAAAGGUCUCUCUAGAUAAAAAUUUAUCAGAAUGAUUUGAUCCUUUCUAAAAUAAAAGAUACUCCUUUUCCAUUGGCUAAUAUGGAAAUUACAAAAUCAUGGUUUUUGUUGAACUCAUUACCCUUCUCUCAUACUCUUCUUUCUGAUUUUGAAUUGCAGGAAACAACUACAUGUUUUAUUGAUCGAUUAAUGGAUGAGUAUGCUGCAUAUAGUGACAUUAUUCAACCAAUUCAGGUUGCUGUGUAUGAGAUGAAAUUGGGAUUAUCACUGGUUCUGUCAAGUAUCCUGGAAAAGAAAUGUUUGAAUAAACUUGGGGUGGAAAACAUCAACAUGGUUACGGUAUGCUAUUUCAUGAGUUUUGGUUUGCUGGGAUUUUCUUUAUAUUUGUUUGGGAACUAACAUGAUGAGCAUGACAGGAAAUGAUGUACAUACUUAUGCGCUUCCCUCGGUCUGCUUCGUAUAAGUUCAUUUCUGUUAAGCAUGACAUUGAGUUGAACUUGCACCCUGCAUACAGUUUUGACUCUUGUUUGGUAGAUAUGGAUUUGAUGGAAAGGCUUGUUACACUUUCAAGUGGUGUUGCUGGUGAUGAGAUGGUAUAUAUACUGUUGAAUUAAGUUCCAAAUUCUAAUUCUAAAUGAAAUUUUGAAUGGUGUGAUUUCAGAAUUUAUUAGUUUAUUUUAUGGUUUGUAUCUGAAUCUUUACAAACAGGUAUCUGCGGUGCAAAAUGGAGCUGCUAUCUAUUGGAGUUUUUUUGUUCAAAUUGCACAUCGUAUUGCUAAUGCUAAAAUAAUUGAUGAUAAAUCUUACAUGGUCAGUUUCUUUAUUUGGGUUUUUCUGUUAACAAAUUCAUUUAUAUUUGCUUAAGAUAUUCUAUAUUUUCUGUUGUUUGGGUUUCUCUGUUAACAAAUUCAUUUAUAUUUGCUUAAAACAUUCUAUUUUUUCAGUUCUUGCAAAAGAUAUUUUACGAGUUCACCACACUUUGGUUUGAUACAAAAGCUUACACAAACUCAAAGAGUGAUUUUGAUGCUCAACCGUACACGUUUAGACCUCGAGCUUUUCAAAUUGAGAGUAUUAUUGAUGUUGAAAUGCCA
RNAcentral lists this long non-coding RNA (14742 nucleotides) under Vigna radiata. Its description in RNAcentral is "long non-coding RNA (VRAD_LNC009461)". Lineage: Eukaryota; Viridiplantae; Streptophyta; Magnoliopsida; Fabales; Fabaceae. The record is from RNAcentral.